UACGAAGGGGGCUAGCGUUGUUCGGAAUUACUGGGCGUAAAGCGCGCGCAGGCGGUCUUCCAAGUCAGUGGUGAAAGCCCGGAGCUCAACUCCGGAACUGCCAUUGAUACUGAAGAUCUUGAGUUCGGGAGAGGUGAGUGGAACUGCGAGUGUAGAGGUGAAAUUCGUAGAUAUUCGCAAGAACACCAGUGGCGAAGGCGGCUCACUGGCCCGAUACUGACGCUGAGGCACGAAAGCGUGGGGAGCAAACAGG
RNAcentral lists this ribosomal RNA (253 nucleotides) under uncultured bacterium. RNAcentral describes it as "partial 16S ribosomal RNA". It matches the Rfam family "Bacterial small subunit ribosomal RNA", at positions 524 to 776 of the family's 1533-position model. The record is from RNAcentral.